CCCCCCCCGGGGGUGAUGAGGUCUUCGGAUCGUAAAGCUCUGUUGUUAGGGAAGAACAAAUGUGUAAGUAACUAUGCACAUCUUGACGGUACCUAACCAGAAAGCCACGGCUAACUACGUGCCAGCAGCCGCGGUAAUACGUAGGUGGCAAGCGUUAUCCGGAAUUAUUGGGCGUAAAGCGCGCGUAGGCGGUUUUUUAAGUCUGAUGUGAAAGCCCACGGCUCAACCGUGGAGGGUCAUUGGAAACUGGAAAACUUGAGUGCAGAAGAGGAAAGUGGAAUUCCAUGUGUAGCGGUGAAAUGCGCAGAGAUAUGGAGGAACCCCAGUGGCUGCAGACGAUGAUACGAAAAC
This 351-nucleotide ribosomal RNA is filed under the name Staphylococcus sp. Its description in RNAcentral is "bacterial SSU rRNA". It matches the Rfam family "Bacterial small subunit ribosomal RNA", at positions 393 to 740 of the family's 1533-position model. The record is from RNAcentral. Lineage: Bacteria; Bacillati; Bacillota; Bacilli; Caryophanales; Staphylococcaceae.